UUUCAAUUGGAGAUCCUCCCCAUUUGUUUUCUUCUUCUACUGCUUUUGGUCCAGUGCUCUCUCAUUCCUUUGGGGUACUAUGCAUGAGGAAUAAGACUAUGCCUUGAUCAUCUUAUUUUAUGCCCCAUGUUGAUCUCUCUGUCUCUGAACCAUCUGCCAUAGGUCCAGGUCAGCUCUCCUACAAGGCCACUGCCUUUCUGGUCCCAAGAGUCAGUCUCUACUUUUCCUCUGAAUUUCUAACACUUACUUUCUCUGUAAAAUAGGGCGCAAUCUCAGAGGCGUAAGGAAUUCACAGUGCAAACAGUAGCUGGAUAAAGACCCCUUCAUUCUUUGACUGAAGACCACCCUGGAGAGAAGAUAAUGGGACCAAAGAAGAAUCUGGGCUUCAACCAAGGGGGAAAAAAUGCAAGGACUGGCAACAGGAUUGCAGCCAAUACCAUAAAAGUUCUUCAGGAAUCUGAGAUAAUUAGGCAAUUAAUUUUUCAUGGACAUAACUUUACUCCCACUUUAAAAAUCAGCUUUUCUUGUUACAGAGGUAAAAUUCAGUAUGACAAAUAGAAACUCAAAAGGAAAUAUUGAUUUCCAUCAUGGUCAAAUGAGUUGUCCUUGGCCUUUGGAACACUUGUCCUGGGUCAGAUGAGAUAAGGAAUUUCUCUGGAAUGAACUACCUUCCUCCUCUACUCCUGCACAAUCUAAAUAGAGAUGUCUUUCCCCCUACAGAAUUCUUACCAUGAAGACCUUAGAUGAUGUUCUUGGAAAAAUGUGCCCUUGAAUUUGUACUUUUCCCUCCAUUUGACCAAAUAAUGACAUCUGUCUUCAUCCAUUCAUUCUCCAUCCCCCUACCUGUCCCUUUCAUCACUCAGAAUCGUGAGUUGACUUCAGUUCUGUCCCUCAAUUAGCUGAAAAAAGUAUCACAAGGUCAAAGAUUUACAACUGGAUGGCAGUGCCAUCUAUUUCAACCAGAUCAUUUUACAGAUGCAGAUACUGAAUCUUAACAUGGUUAAGUUACUUCCUA
RNAcentral lists this long non-coding RNA (1015 nucleotides) under Phascolarctos cinereus (koala). RNAcentral's name for it is "lncRNA (ENSPCIG00000027220.2)". The record is from RNAcentral. Lineage: Eukaryota; Metazoa; Chordata; Mammalia; Diprotodontia; Phascolarctidae.